Molecule: ribosomal RNA, 838 nt
Filed under: uncultured fungus
Lineage: Eukaryota; Fungi
Description: SSU rRNA
Rfam family: Eukaryotic small subunit ribosomal RNA
Source: RNAcentral
GUGCCAGCCGCCGCGUAAUUCCAGCUCCAAUAGCGUAUAUUAAAGUUGUUGUGGUUAAAAAGCUCGUAGUUGAACCUUGGGCCUGGCUGGCCGGUCCGCCUCACCGCGUGCACUGGUCCGGCCGGGCCUUUCCCUCUGUGGAACCCCAUACCCUUCACUGGGCGUGGCGGGGAAACAGGACAUUUACUUUGAAAAAAUUAGAGUGCUCCAGGCAGGCCUAUGCUCGAAUACAUUAGCAUGGAAUAAUAAAAUAGGACGCGCGGUUCUAUUUUGUUGGUUUAUAGGACCGCCGUAAUGAUUAAUAGGGACAGUCGGGGGCAUCAGUAUUCAACUGUCAGAGGUGAAAUUCUUGGAUCAGUUGAAGACUAACUACUGCGAAAGCAUUUGCCAAGGAUGUUUUCAUUAAUCAGGAACGAAAGUUAGGGGAUCGAAGACGAUCAGAUACCGUCGUAGUCUUAACCAUAAACUAUGCCGACUAGGGAUCGGACGGUGUUAUUCAUGACCCGUUCGGCACCUUACGAGAAAUCAAAGUGCUUGGGCUCCAGGGGGAGUAUGGUCGCAAGGCUGAAACUUAAAGAAAUUGACGGAAGGGCACCACCAGGGGUGGAGCCUGCGGCUUAAUUUGACUCAACACGGGGAAACUCACCAGGUCCAGACACAAUAAGGAUUGACAGAUUGAGAGCUCUUUCUUGAUUUUGUGGGUGGUGGUGCAUGGCCGUUCUUAGUUGGUGGGGUGACUUGUCUGCUUAAUUGCGAUAACGAACGAGACCUUAACCUGCUAAAUAGCCCGCAUUGCUCCGGCAGUGCGCUGGCUUCUUAGAGGGACUUUCGGGCUCAA